GACGAACGCUGGCGGCGUGCUUAACACAUGCAAGUCGAACGGAAAGGCCCUGCUUUUGUGGGGUGCUCGAGUGGCGAACGGGUGAGUAACACGUGAGUAACCUGCCCUUGACUUUGGGAUAACUUCAGGAAACUGGGGCUAAUACCGGAUAGGAGCUCCUGCUGCAUGGUGGGGGUUGGAAAGUUUCGGCGGUUGGGGAUGGACUCGCGGCUUAUCAGCUUGUUGGUGGGGUAGUGGCUUACCAAGGCUUUGACGGGUAGCCGGCCUGAGAGGGUGACCGGCCACAAUGGGACUGAGAUACGGCCCAGACUCCUACGGGAGGCAGCAGGGGGGAAUAUUGCACAAUGGGCGGAAGCCUGAGGCAGCAACGCCGCGUGCGGGAUGACGGCCUUCGGGUUGUAAACCGCUUUCGCCUGUGACGAAGCGUGAGUGACGGUAAUGGGUAAAGAAGCACCGGCUAACUACGUG
This 468-nucleotide ribosomal RNA is filed under the name uncultured bacterium. RNAcentral describes it as "partial 16S ribosomal RNA". It matches the Rfam family "Bacterial small subunit ribosomal RNA", at positions 28 to 507 of the family's 1533-position model. The record is from RNAcentral.